This 508-nucleotide ribosomal RNA is filed under the name uncultured bacterium. RNAcentral's name for it is "partial 16S ribosomal RNA". It matches the Rfam family "Bacterial small subunit ribosomal RNA", at positions 28 to 523 of the family's 1533-position model. The record is from RNAcentral.
GAUGAACGCUAGCUACAGGCUUAACACAUGCAAGUCGAGGGGAAACGACAUCGAAAGCCUGCUUUUGAUGGGCGUCGACCGGCGUACGGGUGAGUAACGCGUAUCCAACCUGCCCACCACUUGGGGAUAACCUUGCGAAAGUAAGACUAAUACCCAAUGACGUCUCUAGAAGACAUCUGAAAGAGAUUAAAGAUUUAUCGGUGAUGGAUGGGGAUGCGUCUGAUUAGCUUGUUGGCGGGGUAACGGCCCACCAAGGCGACGAUCAGUAGGGGUUCUGAGAGGAAGGUCCCCCACAUUGGAACUGAGACACGGUCCAAACUCCUACGGGAGGCAGCAGUGAGGAAUAUUGGUCAAUGGGCGAGAGCCUGAACCAGCCAAGUAGCGUGCAGGAUGACGGCCCUAUGGGUUGUAAACUGCUUUUAUAAGGGAAUAAAGUGAGUCUCGUGAGACUUUUUGCAUGUACCUUAUGAAUAAGGACCGGCUAAUUCCGUGCCAGCCGCCGCCGUAA